This 227-nucleotide ribosomal RNA is filed under the name uncultured bacterium. RNAcentral's name for it is "partial 16S ribosomal RNA". It matches the Rfam family "Bacterial small subunit ribosomal RNA", at positions 15 to 235 of the family's 1533-position model. The record is from RNAcentral.
AAUCAUGGCUCAGGAUGAACGCUAGCAGCAGGCUUAACACAUGCAAGUCGAGGGGCAGCAUAAUGGAUAGCAAUAUCUAUGGUGGCGACCGGCGCACGGGUGCGUAACGCGUAUGCAACCUACCUUUAACAGGGGGAUAACGCUGAGAAAUUGGUACUAAUACCCCAUAAUAUCAUAGAAGGCAUCUUUCAUGGUUGAAAAUUCCGAUGGUUAGAGAUGGGCAUGCG